GACCCGAAACCCGGUGAUCUAGCCAUGGGCAGGUUGAAGGUUGGGUAACACUAACUGGAGGACCGAACCGACUAAUGUUGAAAAAUUAGCGGAUGACUUGUGGCUGGGGGUGAAAGGCCAAUCAAACCGGGAGAUAGCUGGUUCUCCCCGAAAGCUAUUUAGGUAGCGCCUCGUGAAUUCAUCUCCGGGGGUAGAGCACUGUUUCGGCAAGGGGGUCAUCCCGACUUACCAACCCGAUGCAAACUGCGAAUACCGGAGAAUGUUAUCACGGGAGACACACGGCGGGUGCUAACGUCCGUCGUGAAGAGGGAAACAACCCAGACCGCCAGCUAAGGUCCCAAAGUCAUGGUUAAGUGGGAAACGAUGUGGGAAGGCCCAGACAGCCAGGAUGUUGGCUUAGAAGCAGCCAUCAUUUAAAGAAAGCGUAAUAGCUCACUGGUCGAGUCGGCCUGCGCGGAAGAUGUAACGGGGCUAAACCAUG
RNAcentral lists this ribosomal RNA (481 nucleotides) under Escherichia coli. RNAcentral describes it as "partial 23S ribosomal RNA". It matches the Rfam family "Bacterial large subunit ribosomal RNA", at positions 712 to 1191 of the family's 2925-position model. The record is from RNAcentral. Lineage: Bacteria; Pseudomonadati; Pseudomonadota; Gammaproteobacteria; Enterobacterales; Enterobacteriaceae.